AAACGUAGGGGGCGAGCGUUGUCCGGAAUUACUGGGCGUAAAGGGUGCGUAGGCGGCCGAUUAAGUCAGAUGUGAAAUACCAGGGCUCAACCCUGGGGGUGCAUUUGAAACUGGUUGGCUUGAGUGCAGGAGAGGAAAGCGGAAUUCCUAGUGUAGCGGUGAAAUGCGUAGAGAUUAGGAGGAACACCAGUGGCGAAGGCGGCUUUCUGGACUGUAACUGACGCUGAGGCACGAAAGCGUGGGGAGCAAACAGGAUUAGAUACCCUGGUAGUCCACGCCGUAAACGAUGGAUACUAGGUGUAGGGGGUUAUGAUACCCUCUGUGCCGGAGUUAACGCAAUAAGUAACCCGCCUGGGGAGUACGGCCGCAAGGUUGAA
Molecule: ribosomal RNA, 377 nt
Filed under: uncultured bacterium
Lineage: Bacteria
Description: bacterial SSU rRNA
Rfam family: Bacterial small subunit ribosomal RNA
Source: RNAcentral